Molecule: transfer RNA, 72 nt
Filed under: Cavia porcellus (domestic guinea pig)
Lineage: Eukaryota; Metazoa; Chordata; Mammalia; Rodentia; Caviidae
Rfam family: tRNA
About the family: Transfer RNA (tRNA) molecules are approximately 80 nucleotides in length. Their secondary structure includes four short double-helical elements and three loops (D, anti-codon, and T loops).
Source: Rfam by way of RNAcentral
GGGAUUGUAGCUCAGUGGUAGAGUACAUGCUUAACAUGCUUGAGACCCUGGGUUCAAUCCCAAGCAGUGCAA